UAGCUGACAGGAGAGUUUGACUUCACUUUACUACAGAGCAGCCUCACAUCAGCUCAUCUGUCUCAUCUCUCAUUACUGAUCCAGUUUGUCUCUUCAUAUCUGUGGACUGAAACCGCUCAAGAUGUUUGACAGAGUUUGCUUCUGGUUGUGUUUGUGGCAUAUGCUUGGUGUGUUUCUGAUUCAGAUGAAGUGAAGUCAGUGUCUGUGAUGGAGGGAGAUUCAGUCUCUCUACAGACUAACACUGAACUACAGACAAAUGAUGAGGUAUUCUGGACAUGUGGACACUCAGAGACUCGUAUAGCUGAAAUUGAUAAAGACACUGGAAGAUUCUCCACAUGUGAUGUUCUUGAUGGGAGAUUCAGAGACAGACUGAAGCUGGAUCAUCAGACUGGAUCUCUGAUCAUCACAAACACCAGAAACACAGACUCUGAAGUGUAUGAAGUAACCAUCAGAAGUAGGAAAGAGACCAUGUACAGAUUCAGUGUCUCUGUUACUGUCUCUGAGUAGUCAAAUGUAUCAGAAGGAGGUGAAUGGAGCAGAUUGAGAGGGAGAAUGUGAAGAAACAGCAGGUGGCGCUAGUGCACUGUUUUAGUUUGGGAUCUGCUGUUAGAAGGAAGAAGAAGGAGAAAGCAGGUGUGUUUGUGCUUCACAUUCCUGUCCAGUUGGUGGCGCUGAUGCACGAGAUCUGUUGUUAACUGGACUUUGAUUUUCUCCAAGAUGAAGUCGUGUCAGGUGACAAACAUCAAUCGUGAAGAUCGCACAGGUGUUUAACAGCGAUCACAAACCGAAAGUGUUGGAAAGACUUCUGGAUUCUGUUCCUGCAGCACAAGAUCGUCUGAACUACUGCAAGUCAUGAUGAGCAUCUGAUCGUCUUCAGAGACACAAAGAUCUCAGUGUUGAGCUGUUCAUCUGCAGUAUGUCAGAGAAGAGAGGAAAGAUGAGUCUCUCACACAAACAGAGUGUAAGAUCAGGAUCACAUGUGUCUGUGAAGAGUGACCGGUCAAAGGAUGAUAACAUACCAGACUUCAGUGAGAAACAAACAUCUAUCAAAAGUGUAAGAUCAGACUCACAUGUGUCCAGCUCUGUGUCUGUCAAGAGUGACCGGUCAAAGGAUGAUCCACUAAACUUCAGUGAAGAAACAACAUCACGAACCAAACGGUAUUUGAUGCGUUUCUUAUU
Carassius auratus (goldfish) is the source of this 1179-nucleotide long non-coding RNA. RefSeq lists it as uncharacterized. The record is from RefSeq and is a predicted model, not a curated record. The transcript is spliced from 6 exons. NCBI's taxonomy places the organism in Eukaryota, Metazoa, Chordata, Actinopteri, Cypriniformes, Cyprinidae.